UACGUAGGGUGCGAGCGUUAAUCGGAAUUACUGGGCGUAAAGAGUGCGUAGGCGGAUAUAUAAGUUAGAUGUGAAAGUCCCGAGCUUAACUUGGGGAAGUCAUUUAAGACUGUAUAUCUAGAGUUUAUAAGAGGGGGGUAGAAUUCCGAGUGUAGCAGUGAAAUGCGUAGAGAUUUGGAGGAAUACCGAUGGCGAAGGCAGCUCCCUGGGAUAAAACUGACGCUGAGGUACGAAAGCGUGGGAAGCAAACAGG
This 253-nucleotide ribosomal RNA is filed under the name uncultured bacterium. RNAcentral describes it as "partial 16S ribosomal RNA". It matches the Rfam family "Bacterial small subunit ribosomal RNA", at positions 524 to 776 of the family's 1533-position model. The record is from RNAcentral.